GGAACACCGAGCAUCACUGCGGCUGCUGCUCCUCAAGUGCUUUGGCGCCAUGUGCAGCCUGGAUGCAGCCAUCAUCUCCACGCUUGUGUCAUCCGUGCUGCCUGUAGAGCUGGCGAGGGACAUGCAGACAGACACGCAGGACCACCAGAAACUCUGUUACUCUGCCCUCAUCCUGGCCAUGGUCUUCUCCAUGGGAGAGGCAGUGCCCUAUGCACACUAUGAGCACCUGGGCACGCCUUUCGCCCAGUUCCUACUGAACAUCGUCGAGGAUGGGCUGCCCUUGGACACCACAGAGCAGCUGCCGGACCUCUGCGUGAACCUGCUUCUGGCUCUCAACCUGCACCUGCCAGGUGGGGUGGGGCCUGGCUGGGCGGUGGCUGAGCACAUGGUGGCUCUCAGGCUCAGCACCCUGUCUAUACCCAUGUCCUUCCUUAGCUGCUGACCAGAAUGUCAUCAUGGCUGCCCUGAGCAAACACGCCAAUGUCAAGAUCUUCUCCGAGAAGCUGUUGUUGCUCCUGAACAGAGGGGAUGACCCUGUGCGCAUCUUCAAACAUGAGCCACAGCCACCACACUCUGUCCUCAAGUUCCUGCAGGACGUGUUUGGCAGCCCGGCCACAGCUGCCAUCUUCUACCACACAGACAUGAUGGCUCUCAUUGACAUCACUGUGCGGCACAUCGCAGACCUGUCACCAGGAGACAAGCUGCGCAUGGAGUACCUCUCCCUGAUGCAUGCUAUAGUCCGCACCACACCCUACCUGCAGCACCGCCACCGGCUACCCGACCUGCAGGCCAUACUGCGACGCAUCCUGAAUGA
This 814-nucleotide long non-coding RNA is filed under the name Homo sapiens (human). RNAcentral describes it as "non-protein coding lnc-IP6K2-1:1". The record is from RNAcentral. Lineage: Eukaryota; Metazoa; Chordata; Mammalia; Primates; Hominidae.